RNAcentral lists this ribosomal RNA (253 nucleotides) under uncultured bacterium. RNAcentral describes it as "partial 16S ribosomal RNA". It matches the Rfam family "Bacterial small subunit ribosomal RNA", at positions 524 to 776 of the family's 1533-position model. The record is from RNAcentral.
UACGUAGGGUGCAAGCGUUAAUCGGAAUUACUGGGCGUAAAGCGUGCGCAGGCGGUGAUGUAAGACAGAUGUGAAAUCCCCGGGCUCAACCUGGGAACUGCAUUUGUGACUGCAUCGCUGGAGUGCUGCAGAGGGGGAUGGAAUUCCGCGUGUAGCAGUGAAAUGCGUAGAUAUGCGGAGGAACACCGAUGGCGAAGGCAAUCCCCUGGGCCUGCACUGACGCUCAUGCACGAAAGCGUGGGGAGCAAACAGG